CUUUGCACUGGAGAAAUGAUCUCAUUAACAAACUAGUUCUGUGCGUCCUUAACACUGAGGCCCCUCGCCUGCAGCUGGAGGCAGCUCUCUGUUCAGCCCCAGUGCAGAGUGACACAGACAGGCGACAGCGUCGCUGAGCACCAACUUCUAUUCCACGGAGGCAGACAGCGAAAACCAUUUCAUAACCAUGGCAAGGCAUGAGAGAAGCACAGGCAUGGUGCAGAGGGCAGAAAGAAGACAAAGAACGAAGAUAAAAGAAGCCUUUUUCCUCAAGAAGAUUGUAAUCUAGUGGUGGAGCUGGAAAAUAAAGGAAAGCAGUGGCCAUGUAUGUCAUGAGGACAUUCCAGUAACCCCAUGUGGUAAGGAACCAAGUCAGCCUGCCAACAACCACUGAAAAACUGAGCCCUCCUGCUGACAGCCAUGUGAGAGGAACACCUGGGAAGUGGAUCCUCCAGGCCUGGUCAUACUUCAGAUGACUGCAGCCCAAGCCAACAUCUUGCUUGAGUGGAGCCUCAUGAGUGACUCAGUCAAAACCACACAGCUGAGAUAUUUCCAACCCACAGAUACUGAGAUAAUAAAUGUUUAUUGCUACUAGGUUUCCUUCCUUCCUUCCUUCCUUCCUUUUUCUCUUCUCUUCUCCUUCCUUCCUUCCUCCCUCCCUCUCCUCCUCCUCCGUCUUCUUCCUCUUCCUCUUCUUCCUCUUCCCCUUCCCCUUCCUCUUCCUCCUUCUUUCUUUCUUACUUUCUUUCUCUUUCUUUCUUUCUUUCUCUAUGAAAAUAUCAGGUGUACUAUAUUUUACCUGCCUUCAUGUAUAUUUGAAUAAUUCCAUAAUAAAACUUUUUAAAA
Long non-coding RNA from Homo sapiens (human), 846 nucleotides. Lineage: Eukaryota; Metazoa; Chordata; Mammalia; Primates; Hominidae. The record is from Ensembl.